This 497-nucleotide ribosomal RNA is filed under the name uncultured bacterium. RNAcentral's name for it is "partial 16S ribosomal RNA". It matches the Rfam family "Bacterial small subunit ribosomal RNA", at positions 28 to 507 of the family's 1533-position model. The record is from RNAcentral.
GAUGAACGCUGGCGGCGUGCCUAAUACAUGCAAGUCGAGCGAACAGACGAGGAGCUUGCUCCUCUGACGUUAGCGGCGGACGGGUGAGUAACACGUGGAUAACAUACCUAUAAGACUGGGAUAACUUCGGGAAACCGGAGCUAAUACCGGAUAAUAUAUUGAACCGCAUGGUUCAAUAGUGAAAGACGGUUUUGCUGUCACUUAUAGAUGGACCCGUGGCGCAUCAGCUAGUUGGUAAGGUAACGGAUUAGCAAGGCAACGAUGCGUAGCCGCCCUGAGAGGGUGAUCGCCCACACUGGAACUGAGACACGUUCCACACUCCUGCGGGAGGCAGCAGUAGGGAAUCUUCCGCAAUGGGCGAAUGCUUGACGGAGCAACGCCGCGUGAGUGAUGAAGGUCUUCGGAUCGUAAAACUCUGUUAUUAGUGAAGAACAAAUGUGUAAGUAACUAGGCACGUCUUGACGGUACCUAAUCAGAAAGCCACGGCUAACUACGUG